GGGGUUGUGGCUCAGCGGUAGAGUGCUCUCCUAGCACGCGUGAGGCACUGGGGUCGAUCCUCAGCACCACA
Molecule: transfer RNA, 71 nt
Filed under: Marmota monax (woodchuck)
Lineage: Eukaryota; Metazoa; Chordata; Mammalia; Rodentia; Sciuridae
Description: tRNA.Ala
Source: RNAcentral